GAAAAUGAACAGAAAGAUGCACCAUGAUAUCAAAGAAGGCGGGAGGGAAUAUCAUCUCGAGCUUACAGAGAGUAAUGAUAAUCUUCUUCUCCAAUAUGUCGAUCUGACUUUGUCUCAAUGUCUUCACACAUAAGUCUCGAAAAUAAGUUCCCAGAUCAAGUAACGCAUCACACACAUUAUCCGGCAACAAUCCACGCAAACCAACUGGGAG
RNAcentral lists this long non-coding RNA (211 nucleotides) under Elaeis guineensis (African oil palm). RNAcentral's name for it is "long non-coding RNA (EGUI_LNC025062)". Lineage: Eukaryota; Viridiplantae; Streptophyta; Magnoliopsida; Arecales; Arecaceae. The record is from RNAcentral.